Trichomycterus rosablanca is the source of this 447-nucleotide long non-coding RNA. RefSeq lists it as uncharacterized. Lineage: Eukaryota; Metazoa; Chordata; Actinopteri; Siluriformes; Trichomycteridae. The transcript is spliced from 3 exons. The record is from RefSeq and is a predicted model, not a curated record.
GGCUAGCCUGAGAUGUUGCCAUGGACACGGAAAUUUUGGCGGUUAAAUGAGCGGAUUGAACUGGUUUAAACCAGACUGAGCCAGUUUUCUCCAGCUUUUUCCAGAGGUGAGCGACCGGUCAGUCAGCUUACAAAGCAAAAGCUAGGAGAGUGGCCUUUGGUAGCUGCCAGGAAAGAAAUCUGAUUCCGACGCAUUCUGCACCCAAUCGUAUGGGCAUUGAGCAGCCCGGUAGUGCAUGGUUCAAAUAAGCUUGGCCCCGGCUCCCAUCAGUCAUGGUGGAACAGGAAAGAGCAUCCUUCAAACUGUUGCCACUAAGUUGAAUAAUGAAUAAGCUUGGCCCCGGCUCCCAUCACAACCAGGAAUCGCUUGGUGAACUGGAGACGUGUCGACUGGUCGACCAUACUGCUGGUUCGAGGAUGAGGUGGACCUACUUCGCCCUUCCCAAAG